CGGGGCGUAGCGCAGUUCGGCCAGCGCGCCUGCUUUGGGAGCAGGAUGUCGGAGGUUCAAAUCCUCUCGCCCCGACCA
Molecule: transfer RNA, 78 nt
Filed under: Candidatus Fermentibacterota bacterium
Lineage: Bacteria; Pseudomonadati; Candidatus Fermentibacterota
Description: tRNA-Pro
Rfam family: tRNA
About the family: Transfer RNA (tRNA) molecules are approximately 80 nucleotides in length. Their secondary structure includes four short double-helical elements and three loops (D, anti-codon, and T loops).
Source: RNAcentral